This 73-nucleotide transfer RNA is filed under the name Sneathia vaginalis. Its description in RNAcentral is "[Leptotrichia] amnionii tRNA". It matches the Rfam family "tRNA". Rfam says of the family: Transfer RNA (tRNA) molecules are approximately 80 nucleotides in length. Their secondary structure includes four short double-helical elements and three loops (D, anti-codon, and T loops). The record is from Rfam by way of RNAcentral. Lineage: Bacteria; Fusobacteriati; Fusobacteriota; Fusobacteriia; Fusobacteriales; Leptotrichiaceae. RNAcentral also lists the same sequence under 1 other name.
GGGGAUAUAGCUCAGCUGGGAGAGCGCCGCACUUGCACUGCGGAGGUCAGCAGUUCGAUCCUGCUUAUCUCCA